GACGAACGCUGGCGGCGUGCUUAACACAUGCAAGUCGAACGGAAAGGCCCUGCUUUUGUGGGGUGCUCGAGUGGCGAACGGGUGAGUAACACGUGAGUAACCUGCCCUUGACUUUGGGAUAACUUCAGGAAACUGGGGCUAAUACCGGAUAGGAGCUCCUGCUGCAUGGUGGGGGUUGGAAAGUUUCGGCGGUUGGGGAUGGACUCGCGGCUUAUCAGCUUGUUGGUUGGGUAGUGGCUUACCAAGGCUUUGACGGGUAGCCGGCCUGAGAGGGUGAACGGCGACAAUGGGACUGAGAUACGGCGCAGACGCCUACGGGAGGCAGCAGUGGGGAAUAUGGCACAAUGGGCGGAAGCCUGAUGCAGCAACGUCGCGUGCGGGAUGACGGCCUUCGGGGUGUAAACCGCUUUCGCCUGUGACGAAGCGUGAGUGACGGUAAUGGGUAAAGAAGCACCGGCUAACUACGUG
Molecule: ribosomal RNA, 468 nt
Filed under: uncultured bacterium
Lineage: Bacteria
Description: partial 16S ribosomal RNA
Rfam family: Bacterial small subunit ribosomal RNA
Source: RNAcentral